GUGCCCGUGAAGGUCCGAAUGACGAAUAGCCCCAGAAGAUGAGGAAGAUGCAGUGACAAAGGCAAUACACCUUGGAGCUGAACGGCCAGACCAGCCAAUGUUUUUCCCUUACAAAGGAACUGUGUUCAACAGCUGUGAUGAGGCGAAAGAGUUCUACAACUUAUACUCCUGGGAGAAAGGUUUCGGGAUAAGAAUAGGGCGGUGAUGCAAGAACAGCAAAGAGUAUAGAACUAGACAAGAUUUUGUCUGCUCGUGUGAGGGAACAGAGAAGAGCACAACAGCAGCUUCAAUUAGGACUGAAUGCAAGGCAAUGAUCAGACUUCUCAGAUGAAAUGAUCAUUCAUGGUACAUCAGCAGGGUGGUUGACACACACAACCACCCAUUUUCAGCAGGCUAUGGUGAAAACAAGCAAUGGAAAUCACAUAGUGAAAUAGAUCCAGUAACAAAGGAUUUGGUUAAGAAGCUUAGGGAGAACAAUAUCAGUGUUGGGAGGAUCUGCAACAUCCUAGGUGUGUCGGAUGCAACCUCAAUCAAAACAAUAAGAAAGGAGUCUGUACGGUCCUAGUGUGCAAAACUGUUCCAAGAAAACCUGAAAGAUGAUAUUGGAAAGACAAUGAGGCUUUUGGAGGAUAUGAAGAAAACUGACCCUGGGCUUGAAGUAAGGUUCCAAAUGGAUGGCAAUGGCGCGAUGAAAACAAUGCUUUGGUGCACCGGUAAAAAUAGAGUGGACUACGAGAAUUUUGGUGAUGCCAUAACAUUUGAUACAACCUAUAGGACAAAUCUUUACAGCCUUCCAUUUGGACUUUUCGUCGGUGUAAACAACCAUUUCCAGUUGUGUUCGGUGGGGUGCUUCUAACGUCUGAGAAAACAGAUGAUUUCAAAUGGGCAUUCUCAAAUUUUGUGGAAAUAAUGAAUGGUAAAGCUCCCCUGACAAUGCUAACAGACCAGUGUGCCGCCAUGGCAAAGGCAAUAAAAUCAACACUACAUACUACAAGGCACAGAUGGUGCAGGUGGCACGUGCUAAAGGAUGCAAAAAAGAAGCUUGGGAACAUCUAUUCAAAAUGUAAGAAGUUCAAACAUGAAUUCAAUAAACUAAUAACUGAUGAGAUUGACAUAAGAAGAUUCGAGAAUGAAUGGCGAAAACUACUAAGGAAGUACCGCCUUGUCAAGAACAAGUACUUAAUGAGAUUGUUCAAGCACCGGGAGAAAUGGGCGAAACCAUAUUUCAUGGACAUAUUCUGCGCUGGAAUGACCAGCACACAGGAGUGAAAGCGCAAAUCAUAUGUUAAAAAGGUUCAUUCAACGGGCUGCACCAAUGCACCUUUUUGUGAGUAAAUUCAAUGAACUACAGAGUGACAGACACGACCAGGAAGGAAAGGAGCAGCAUUGUACUAAACAGGUAUGUGAUAAGCAAAAAUAGAUAACGAUAGUUGGUAUGACUAAGUCUCAUUAAACCAUGAUAAUAACUGUGCAGACACUAAUUGUUCAGUCCAAUCUCUCCUAUAACAGGUUCUCAGAAAAAAAAAAGCUAAAAGUAGGGGUUCCAAUAGAGCAUCAUGCCAAUAUAGUGUACACAAGAGCAAUGUACGAGAAAUUCUGUGAUGAGCUAUUUGAGUCAGGAU
Panicum virgatum (switchgrass) is the source of this 1622-nucleotide long non-coding RNA. RefSeq lists it as uncharacterized. The record is from RefSeq and is a predicted model, not a curated record. The transcript is spliced from 3 exons. Lineage: Eukaryota; Viridiplantae; Streptophyta; Magnoliopsida; Poales; Poaceae.